GGGGAUAUAGCUCAGUUGGUAGAGUGCUUGCCUUGCCUGCACACAGCCCUGGGAUCAAUCCCCAGCAUCACACCCA
This 76-nucleotide transfer RNA is filed under the name Marmota monax (woodchuck). RNAcentral's name for it is "tRNA.Ala". The record is from RNAcentral. Lineage: Eukaryota; Metazoa; Chordata; Mammalia; Rodentia; Sciuridae.